ACUUCGUUGUGAGUAGAGCGGCGGACGGGUGAGUAACGCGUAGGAAUCUACCUAGUAGUGGGGGACAACUCGAGGAAACUCGAGCUAAUACCGCAUACGCCCUAAGCGGGAAAGCGGGGGAUCUUCGGACCUCGCGCUAUUGGAUGAGCCUGCGUCGGAUUAGCUAGUUGGUGGGGUAAAGGCCCACCAAGGCGACGAUCCGUAGCUGGUCUGAGAGGAUGAUCAGCCACACUGGGACUGAGACACGGCCCAGACUCCUACGGGAGGCAGCAGUGGGGAAUAUUGCGCAAUGGGGGAAACCCUGACGCAGCCAUGCCGCGUGUGUGAAGAAGGCCUUAGGGUUGUAAAGCACUUUCAAUGGGGAGAAAAGUCUUACGGUUAAUAACUGUGAGAGUUGAUGUUACCUAUAGAAGAAGCACCGGCUAACUCCGUG
RNAcentral lists this ribosomal RNA (433 nucleotides) under uncultured bacterium. RNAcentral's name for it is "bacterial SSU rRNA". It matches the Rfam family "Bacterial small subunit ribosomal RNA", at positions 77 to 507 of the family's 1533-position model. The record is from RNAcentral.